Long non-coding RNA from Syngnathus typhle (broad-nosed pipefish), 514 nucleotides. RefSeq lists it as uncharacterized. NCBI's taxonomy places the organism in Eukaryota, Metazoa, Chordata, Actinopteri, Syngnathiformes, Syngnathidae. The transcript is spliced from 2 exons. The record is from RefSeq and is a predicted model, not a curated record.
AACUGUGUAAACAAAAAGAUAAACAUACAGUGCAUGUCCGAAAGUCUAUUGAUCCGACACCGACCUUUCCGAGGUGCACUUGAACGCCUCCUCGGAAAGCGGGACACUUAUGAGAAGAACGCUGCACGCUCCUUUUUUGGUCUCGCGCUUAGGGAGGAAAAGGGACUUACGUAACCCUUUUUUCCCGUGAUAUUUGUGUGCGUUUAUGAAACCCCAGACCACACACACACAAGUACACACUCAAACCCACUAACAUACACUCCUGGAAACCUGUAUACUCACUGUUGUUGAGAAUAAAGUUGAUGCAAGAUUCUCUGACCGGACUCGUCCAUAGUGCUCCAUCCCUAACCACUAAUCCACAUCUUUACAGCGCAUUUGUUAACAAUAAAUCAAUAUGCUCAAACUAAUCUCCUUUGGUCUCUUUUCACAUCCUAUUGCACUACUGCUAAUAAACGGCAUCACAAAACAUAUACCGUAAUUUUCCAUGUAUAAUACGGACCCUAAAAAUGGCAUG